GCCAUAUUCUAACGAGCCAUUAGGAUAGAGAAUCUUUCCAUUAUCAUAUGAAUCAAAGUUGUUAGAUGGUUGUGAAUUCUGCUUACAUGGAUUGAGGAGCUAGUAGUCAGUGGUCGGUGCUGAGCCGAGCCUCGUGCCAAUGCCUAUGUCAAGGACUCAACCAUCUAUCAACUUAUGAGAGCUUCUCUCUCGGUCCUCAGUGCAAUUCGUUGGCC
RNAcentral lists this long non-coding RNA (215 nucleotides) under Elaeis guineensis (African oil palm). RNAcentral describes it as "long non-coding RNA (EGUI_LNC037157)". The record is from RNAcentral. Lineage: Eukaryota; Viridiplantae; Streptophyta; Magnoliopsida; Arecales; Arecaceae.